Molecule: ribosomal RNA, 504 nt
Filed under: uncultured bacterium
Lineage: Bacteria
Description: bacterial SSU rRNA
Rfam family: Bacterial small subunit ribosomal RNA
Source: RNAcentral
AGAGUUUGAUCCUGGCUCAGAUUGAACGCUGGCGGUAUGCUUAACACAUGCAAGUCGAACGGAAACGAAGGGAGCUUGCUUCCAGGCGUCGAGUGGCGGACGGGUGAGUAACGCGUAGGAAUCUGCCCAGUAGUGGGGGACAACCCGGGGAAACCCAGGCUAAUACCGCAUACACCCUACGGGGAAAAGAGGGCCUCUUCUUGAAAGCUCUUGCUAUUGGAUGAGCCUGUGUGAGAUUAGCUAGUUGGUAGGGUAAAGGCCUACCAAGGCGACGAUCUUUAGCUGGUCUGAGAGGACGAUCAGCCACACUGGAACUGAGACACGGUCCAGACUCCUACGGGAGGCAGCAGUGGGGAAUAUUGCACAAUGGACGCAAGUCUGAUGCAGCAAUGCCGCGUGUGUGAAGAAGGCCUUAGGGUUGUAAAGCACUUUCAGUAGGGAGGAAAAGUUCAAGGUUAAUAACCUUGGGCCCUGACGUUACCUACAGAAGAAGCACCGCUAACU